This 1417-nucleotide ribosomal RNA is filed under the name uncultured Planctomycetota bacterium. Its description in RNAcentral is "bacterial SSU rRNA". It matches the Rfam family "Bacterial small subunit ribosomal RNA". Lineage: Bacteria; Pseudomonadati; Planctomycetota. The record is from RNAcentral.
CAAGUCGUACGGUGGUAGCAAUACCAUAGUGGCGAAAGGGAUAGGAAUACAUAGAUUAUCUGCCCAAAGGACGUGGAUAGCGGCGGGAAACUGCCGGUAAUACACGAUAAUUUCUCCGGAACAAAGGUGUGAUUCCGCCUUUGGAUGAGUCUAUGUCCUAUUAGCUAGUUGGCGGUGUAAUGGACCACCAAGGCUAUGAUGGGUACGAGGCGUGAGAGCGUGUCCUCGAUCACUGGAACUGAGACACUGUCCAGACACCUACGGGUGGCUGCAGUCGAGAAUCUUCGGCAAUGGGCGAAAGCCUGACCGAGCGAUGCCGCGUGUGUGAUGAAGGUCUUCGGAUUGUAAAGCACUGUAAGUUGGGAGGAAAUGUAUGAGGGUUCUCCCUCAUAUUUGACCUAUCUUCAAAGUAAGGACGGGCUAAGUUCGUGCCAGCAGCCGCGGUAAGACGAACUGUCCAAACGUUAUUCGGAAUCACUGGGCUUAAAGGGUGCGUAGGCUGUCUGGUAAGUGGGGUGUGAAAUCCCUCAGCUCAACUGAGGAAUUGCGCUCCAAACUGUUCAAGCUUGAAGGAAUGUAGGGGUAAGCGGAACCUGCGGUGGAGCGGGUGAAAUGCUUUGAUAUUGCAAAGGAACAACAAAUGGCGUAGGCAGCUUGCUGGGCAUUUUCUGACGCUGAGGCACGAAAGCCAGGGUAGCGAACGGAAUUAGAUACUCCGGUAGUCCUGGCUGUAAACGCUGAGCACUUGGUCGAAGGACACUCCAUAGUCUUUUGGCCGUAGAGAAAUUGGUAAGUGCUCCGGCUGGGGAGUAUGGUCGCAAGGCUGAAACUCAAAGGAAUUUGACGGGGGCUCACACAAGCGGUGGAGGAUGUGGCUUAAUUCGAGGCUACGCGAAGAACCUUAUCCUAGGCUUGACAUGCUGGAUACCUUUCCUGAAAGGGAGUCUGGUUGCCCGCAAGGGUGAAACAAGCACAGGUGCUGCAUGGCUGUCGUCAGCUCGUGUCGUGAGAUGUUGGGUUAAGUCCCGCAACGAGCGCAACCCCUAUUACUAGUUGCCAUCAUGAAGUUGGGCACUCUAGUGAGACUGCCGGUGAUAAACCGGAGGAAGGUGGGGAGGACGUCAAAUCAUCAUGCCCCUUAUGACCUGGGCUACACACGUGCUACAAUGGAUGGUACAACGAGUCGCCAGCCCGCGAGGGUGCGCUAAUCUCUUAAAACCAUUCUCAGUUCGGAUUGCAGGCUGCAACUCGCCUGCAUGAAGUCGGAAUCGCUAGUAAUCGCGGAUCAGCACGCCGCGGUGAAUACGUUCCCGGGUCUUGUACACACCGCCCGUCACACCACGGGAGUUGGGGGUGCCCGAAGUCGAUGGCCUAACCUUUAUGGAGGGCGUCGCCUAAGGCAAAACCGAUGACUGGG